Molecule: non-coding RNA, 124 nt
Organism: Triticum aestivum (bread wheat)
Lineage: Eukaryota; Viridiplantae; Streptophyta; Magnoliopsida; Poales; Poaceae
Source: Rfam
CAUAUAUUCCUCCGUCCGGAAAUACUUGUCGCACAAAUGGAUAAAAAUGGACGCAUCUAAAACUAAAAUUUGACUAGAUACAUCCAUUCCUCCGACAAGUAUUUUCGGACGGAGGGAGUAGUAA